ACUGCUCAGUAACACGUGGAUAACCUGCCCUUGGGUCCGGCAUAACCCCGGGAAACUGGGGAUAAUUCCGGAUAACGCACAUAUGCUGGAAUGCUUUAUGCGUAAAAUGGAUUCGUCUGCCCAAGGAUGGGUCUGCGGCCUAUCAGGUAGUAGUGGGUGUAAUGUACCUACUAGCCAACAACGGGUACGGGUUGUGAGAGCAAGAGCCCGGAGAUGGAUUCUGAGACAUGAAUCCAGGCCCUACGGGGCGCAGCAGGCGCGAAAACUUUACAAUGCGGGAAACCGUGAUAAGGGGACACCGAGUGCCAGCAUCAUAUGCUGGCUGUCCAGGUGUGUAAAAUACACCUGUUAGCAAGGGCCGGGCAAGACCGGUGCCAGCCGCCGCGGUAACACCGGCGGCCCGAGUGGUGAUCGUGAUUAUUGGGUCUAAAGGGUCCGUAGCCGGUUUGGUCAGUCCUCCGGGAAAUCUGACGGCUUAACCGUUAGGCUUUCGGGGGAUACUGCCAGGCUUGGAACCGGGAGAGGUAAGAGGUACUACAGGGGUAGGAGUGAAAUCUUGUAAUCCCUGUGGGACCACCUGUGGCGAAGGCGUCUUACCAGAACGGGUUCGACGGUGAGGGACGAAAGCUGGGGGCACGAACCGGAUUAGAUACCCGGGUAGUCCCAGCCGUAAACGAUGCUCGCUAGGUGUCAGGCAUGGCGCGACCGUGUCUGGUGCCGCAGGGAAGCCGUGAAGCGAGCCACCUGGGAAGUACGGCCGCAAGGCUGAAACUUAAAGGAAUUGGCGGGGGAG
This 793-nucleotide ribosomal RNA is filed under the name uncultured archaeon. Its description in RNAcentral is "bacterial SSU rRNA". It matches the Rfam family "Archaeal small subunit ribosomal RNA", at positions 85 to 876 of the family's 1478-position model. The record is from RNAcentral.